AUGUUGAUCCCCCACUGGGCGAAUGGCCAGGGGGCACUGAUCGAGGUCAGUGGGGCCGAGGGUUGGCGCUGGAUGUUGGCGUUCCGCUGGCAUCAAUCGCACCUUCGGACGAAGUCCGUUGCGUCCUUUUGAAGUGUGGGCCUAUAGUAUCCUUGGCGCAAGAUUUUAUGGGCUAGUGCUCGGCCUCUCAGAUGGUUCCUGCAUAUCCCUUCAUGGACCUCUCGCAUGGCAUAGUCCGCCUCUGACGGGCAGAGGCAUCUGAGGAGAGGAGAGGUGAAGGAUUUCCGGUAGAGCUUGCCUUCAUAUAAUAUGUAUCAGGAGGCUAAACGCCUGAUUCGGCGAGCCUCGAGCUCAUCAUUGGGAGGGGCUUCAUUUCGUAGAUAACUGAUGAGCUCGUCCAUCCAGCUCGGCUCGGUUUCGAUGCAGAGGGUCGGCUCAGGCUCCUCCGUGCCGGGCAUUUGGAGAUAUUCGAGCAUUGUUGCCUUAGGAAGCUCGCUCAUGCGGGAGGUCGCCAGCUUCGAUAGUUGGUCUGCCCUUAGGUUCUCUGUUUUGGAGAUGUGCUGGAUAUUGAAGGAGCCCAGGGUGGAUGUGAGGUCUCGCACCUUUUGGAGAUACCUUUGCAUCGAUCGCUCUCUUGCUUCAAAGUCCCCUAGGAUCUGGCUCACGACCAGUUGGGAGUCA
RNAcentral lists this long non-coding RNA (681 nucleotides) under Phoenix dactylifera (date palm). RNAcentral's name for it is "long non-coding RNA (PDAC_LNC009230)". The record is from RNAcentral. Lineage: Eukaryota; Viridiplantae; Streptophyta; Magnoliopsida; Arecales; Arecaceae.